AAUAUUGGACAAUGGGCGAAAGCCUGAUCCAGCCAUGCCGCGUGUGUGAAGAAGGUCUUCGGAUUGUAAAGCACUUUAAGUUGGGAGGAAGGGGUUGAAGCUAAUACCUUCAAUCUUUGAUGUUACCAACAGAAUAAGUACAGGCUAACUCUAUGCCCGCCGCCGCGGUAAUACAGAGGGUGCAAGCGUUAAUCGGAAUUACUGGGCGUAACGCGCGCGUAGGUGGUUCAGUAAGAUGGAAGUUAAAUCCCCGGGCUUAACCUGGGAACUGCUUUCAAAACUGACGAGCUAGAGUACGGUAGAGGGUAGUGGAAUUUCCUGUGUAGCGGUGAAAUGCGUAGGUAUAGGAAGGAACAUCAGUGGCGAAGGCGACUACCUGGACUGAUACUGACACUGAGGUGCGAAAGCGUGGGGAGCAAACAGG
This 424-nucleotide ribosomal RNA is filed under the name uncultured bacterium. RNAcentral describes it as "partial 16S ribosomal RNA". It matches the Rfam family "Bacterial small subunit ribosomal RNA", at positions 360 to 776 of the family's 1533-position model. The record is from RNAcentral.